This 468-nucleotide ribosomal RNA is filed under the name uncultured bacterium. Its description in RNAcentral is "partial 16S ribosomal RNA". It matches the Rfam family "Bacterial small subunit ribosomal RNA", at positions 28 to 507 of the family's 1533-position model. The record is from RNAcentral.
GAUGAACGCUGACAGCAUGCUUAACACAUGCAAGUCAACUUGAAUUUGGGUUUUUAACUUGGGUUUGGGUGGCGGACGGGUGAGUAACGCGUAAAGAACUUGCCUCCCAGCUAGGGACAACAUUUGGAAACGAAUGCUAUUACCUAAUAUUAUGAUAAUAGGUCAUCCUAUAAUUAUGAAAGCUAUAAGCGCUGUGGGAUAGAUUUGCGUCCCAUUAGCUAGUUGGUGGGGUAACGGCUUACCAAGGCGUUGAUGGGUAGCCGGCCUGAGAGGGUGAUCGGCCACAUAGGGACUGAGAUACGGGCCAGACUCCUACGGGAGGCAGCAGUGGGGAAUAUUGGAAAAUGGGCGGAAGACUGAUGCAGCAACGUUGCGUGCGGGAUAACGGCCUUCGGGUUGUAAAAAGCUUUCGCCGGUGACGAAGCGUGAGUGACGGUAAUGGGUAAAGAAGAAACGGCUAACUACGUG